This 439-nucleotide ribosomal RNA is filed under the name uncultured bacterium. RNAcentral's name for it is "partial 16S ribosomal RNA". It matches the Rfam family "Bacterial small subunit ribosomal RNA", at positions 339 to 795 of the family's 1533-position model. The record is from RNAcentral.
CUACGGGAUGCAGCAGUGAGGAAUAUUGCACAAUGGGGGGAACCCUGAUGCAGCAACGCCGCGUGGAGGAUGACGCAUUUCGGUGUGUAAACUCCUUUUAUAUGUCAAGAAAAUGACGGUAGCACAUGAAUAAGCACCGGCUAACUCCGUGCCAGCAGCCGCGGUAAUACGGAGGGUGCAAGCGUUACUCGGAAUCACUGGGCGUAAAGGACGCGUAGGCGGGUUGGAAAGUCAGGUGUGAAAUCCUACAGCUUAACUGUAGAACUGCACUUGAAACUUCUAAUCUAGAGUAUGGGAGGGGGAGAUGGAAUUAGUGGUGUAGGGGUAAAAUCCGUAGAUAUCAUUAGGAAUACCUAAAGCGAAGGCGAUCUCCUGGAACAUUACUGACGCUAAGGCGUGAAAGCGUGGGGAGCAAACAGGAUUAGAUACCCCCGUAGUC